RNAcentral lists this ribosomal RNA (253 nucleotides) under uncultured bacterium. Its description in RNAcentral is "partial 16S ribosomal RNA". It matches the Rfam family "Bacterial small subunit ribosomal RNA", at positions 524 to 776 of the family's 1533-position model. The record is from RNAcentral.
UACGUAGGGGGCAAGCGUUGUCCGGAAUCAUUGGGCGUAAAGAGCGUGUAGGCGGCCAGAUAAGUCCGCUGUGAAAUCUCGAGGCUCAACUUCGAGCUGUCGGUGGAAACUGUCUGGCUAGAGUCCGGAAGAGGAGAAUGGAAUUCCUGGUGUAGCGGUGAAAUGCGUAGAUAUCGUAAGGAAGACCAGUGGCGAAGGCGAGUCUCUGGACAGUUACUGACACUGAGGCACGAAGGCCAGGGGAGCAAACGGG